AGCGGCGAGUGAAGCGGCAAAAGCUCAAAUUUGAAAUCUGGCUCUUUCAGAGUCCGAGUUGUAAUUUGAAGAAGGUAUCUUUGGGUCUGGCUCUUGUCUAUGUUUCUUGGAACAGAACGUCACAGAGGGUGAGAAUCCCGUGCGAUGAGAUGAUCCAGGCCUAUGUAAAGUUCCUUCGAAGAGUCGAGUUGUUUGGGAAUGCAGCUCUAAGUGGGUGGUAAAUUCCAUCUAAAGCUAAAUAUUGGCGAGAGACCGAUAGCGAACAAGUACAGUGAUGGAAAGAUGAAAAGAACUUUGAAAAGAGAGUGAAAAAGUACGUGAAAUUGUUGAAAGGGAAGGGCUUGAGAUCAGACUUGGUAUUUUGUAUGUUACUUCUUCGGGGGUGGCCUCUACAGUUUAUCGGGCCAGCAUCAGUUUGGGCGGUAGGAGAAUUGCGUUGGAAUGUGGCACGGCUUCGGUUGUGUGUUAUAGCCUUCGUCGAUACUGCCAGCCUAGACUGAGGACUGCGGUUUAUACCUAGGAUGUUGGCAUAAUGAUCUUAAGUCGCCCGUCUUAA
RNAcentral lists this ribosomal RNA (556 nucleotides) under Candida tropicalis. RNAcentral's name for it is "eukaryotic LSU rRNA". It matches the Rfam family "Eukaryotic large subunit ribosomal RNA", at positions 85 to 657 of the family's 3401-position model. The record is from RNAcentral. Lineage: Eukaryota; Fungi; Ascomycota; Pichiomycetes; Serinales; Debaryomycetaceae.